UAGAGAAAGCCCUCUGUCCUUGCAAUA
RNAcentral lists this non-coding RNA (27 nucleotides) under Homo sapiens (human). Lineage: Eukaryota; Metazoa; Chordata; Mammalia; Primates; Hominidae. The record is from RNAcentral.